This is a non-coding RNA of Albula goreensis, 74 nucleotides long. NCBI's taxonomy places the organism in Eukaryota, Metazoa, Chordata, Actinopteri, Albuliformes, Albulidae. The record is from the annotation of a GenBank genome assembly.
GGCCGCAUAGCAUAACGGUUAGGGAGCUGGUCUCGUGAAUCGGAUGUGUCAGGUUCGAUUCCCAGACACGGCCA